This is a long non-coding RNA of Oncorhynchus gorbuscha (pink salmon), 1250 nucleotides long. RefSeq lists it as uncharacterized. The transcript has 3 exons. The record is from RefSeq and is a predicted model, not a curated record. Lineage: Eukaryota; Metazoa; Chordata; Actinopteri; Salmoniformes; Salmonidae.
GUUCGUGGCAUUCUCUUUGUUUUAGUGUUCUGAGUUUAUUAAAGACCAUCAUGAACACGUACCACGCUGCGCAUUGGUCCUCCGAUCCUUCCUACUCCUCCACCUCAGAAGAGGAGGAAGAUGAACGUUACACGAGCAAGAUUUCUACAUUGACACCUUUGAAAUGACUGGCAUUUGGGGGAGCAAGAAAUCAAAACUUAAGGUUAUGCUGACAAUCCCAAAAGAGGGCUCUGUUCCUCAACCCAAUGGGGGAGAGUGCCACAAAGAUAAAAAGAUGCCAAGGAAGAAAACCGUUACAUUAUGUCUGGCUGCCUGUCAGGACGAGGUUAGGCUUGAGUUCUAGGCAGCAGUAUCACCUGGGAGACUAAAUGUUCAGUCGAGCUGUUUAUCAGCUUUCCAAUAUUUGUUUGUUUUUUAUUGUCUUUUUAUAUUAUAUGUAUUGUAAUUUUAUAUCUUAUUAUGCAAAGAUCAACAUUUGUAUUUCCUAUUUAAUGCCUGUUCUGAUCAACUUUCUGUGAUGUUUUUGUGUUAUUGUGUGAUAAUAUGAGGAUUAUCUUGAUUUUCUUAAACAUUACAAAAUGAAUCUAAGAAAUGUUUCUUUAUAAUCUCAAGAAAACACCCUUGCAGAAAUCCUUCCCCCCUUCUAAUAUCCUUAAACUUGUGGCUAGGUCAAAUACUUUCUUUGGCGCACAUCAGAGUCAAAUAAUUUCUAUAGAACAAACUUAACAUCGGGAUAGGCAACCGAAAUGAAUAAUUCAUGUGUUAUAUUAAAUAUAGGAGGGAGUAAAAUGUAGGCAAGCAAUAAACAUCUCAGAACAACUACUAGUCGAAUAAGACAUGGGAGAGACGAAUUUUGGCAAAGAGAUUUAUUUAUAUCCUAAUACACUUGAAACAAAUAGCCAAACCGAAAAUUGCAGACAAUACUAGUGCCUCCCAGCGAUCCAAACCGUGAUAAAAUAUAAAAUGAAACGCAGCCUAACGUGAACAUAAAUCUCAACUCGCAAGCAAAUCGCAGCAAUAACGAAUUGAAUCCAUGCGCGCUCAUGCGAACGGGGCAUUCUGUCAGGUAAAGUUUUUCGGAACAACACCAGGCUUGAUGGAAACAGACAAUUUGUUCGUUCGACAUGGUGAGGUCUUUUUGUGUAGGUGGGAUUUUUUUAUGUGUUGGUUAAAUGUAAUAUGCAAUAAAUGGCAGUGGAAACUCCUUUAUGCGCAAAUAUUGCUUUAAUAACCCAUAUCGAAGUAAACUU